Molecule: ribosomal RNA, 1243 nt
Filed under: metagenome
Description: bacterial LSU rRNA
Rfam family: Bacterial large subunit ribosomal RNA
Source: RNAcentral
UGAGUACGAGAUGCUACGGCAUCGAAGCAGUCUAUGUCAUACUUCCAAGAAAAGCUUGCAAUGUCAUAAACAAAUAAUGCCUGUACCAUAACCGACACAGGUGGGUAGGUAGAGUAUACUAAGGGGCGCGAGAUGACUCUCUCUAAGGAACUCGGCAAAAUGACUCCGUAACUUCGGGAGAAGGAGUGCCUUAUUUUUAUAAGGUUGCAAUAACAAGAUCCAAGCAACUGUUUACCAAAAACACAGGUCUCCGCUAAGUCGUAAGACGAUGUAUGGGGGCUGACGCCUGCCCAGUGCCAGAAGGUUAAAGAAGUUGGUUAGCAUUAGCGAAGCUGAUAACUGAAGCCCUGGUGAACGGCGGCCGUAACAAUAACGGUCCUAAGGUAGCGAAAUUCCUUGUCGGGUAAGUUCCACCCGCACGAAAGGCGUAAUGAUUUGGAUACUGUCUCGGGGAGGGGCUCGGUGAAAUAGACUUGUCUGUGAAGAUGCGGACUACCUGCACCUGGACAGAAAGACCCUAUGAAGCUUUACUGUAACUUGAGAUUGAAAUUGGACUUUAUCUGCGCAGUAUAGGUGGGAGACGUUGAAAAUAUUCUUGCGGGAAUAUUGGAGUCAUCAGUGAGAUACCACUCUUAUAAUGUUAGAUUUCUAACUUUGUAUCAUUAUCUGGUCAAAGAACAGUUUCAGGCGGGCAGUUUGACUGGGGCGGUCGCCUCCCAAACGGUAACGGAGGCGCACAAAGGUUUCCUCUGAACGUGUAGAAAUCGUAUCUAGAGUGUAAAGGCAUAAGGAAGCUUGACUGUGAGACCUACAAGUCGAGCAGGGACGAAAGUCGGUCUUAGUGAUCUGACGGUGCUGAGUGGAAAGGCCGUCACUCAACGGAUAAAAGUUACUCUAAGGAUAACAGGCUGAUCUCCCCCAAGAGUUCACAUCGACGGGGAGGUUUGGCACCUCGAUGUCGGCUCAUCGCAUCCUGGGGCGGUAGUACGUCCCAAGGGUUGGGCUGUUCGCCCAUGAAAGCGGUACGCGAGCUGGGUUCAGAACGUCGUGAGACAGUUCGGUCCAUAUCCGGUGUAGGCGUUAGAAUAUUGAGAGGAGCCUUCUUUAGUACGAGAGGACCGAGAAGGACAUACCUCUGGUGUACCAGUUAUCGUGCCAACGGUAAACGCUGGGUAGCCAUGUAUGGAGAGGAUAACCGCUGAAAGCAUCUAAGUGGGAAGCCCACCUCAAGAUAAGUAUUCUC